GACGAACGCUGGCGGCGUGCUUAACACAUGCAAGUCGAACGGAAAGGCCCUGCUUUUGUGGGGUGCUCGAGUGGCGAACGGGUGAGUAACACGUGAGUAACCUGCCCUUGACUUUGGGAUAACUUCAGGAAACUGGGGCUAAUACCGGAUAGGAGCUCCUGCUGCAUGGUGGGGGUUGGAAAGUUUCGGCGGUUGGGGAUGGACUGGCGGCUUAUCAGCUUGUUGGUGGGGUAGUGGCUUACCAAGGCUUUGGCGGGUAGCCGGCCUGAGAGGGUGACCGGCCACAUUGGGACUGAGAGACGGCCCAGACGCGUACGGGAGGCAGCAGUGGGGAAUAUUGCACAAUGGGCGGAAGCCUGAUGCAGAAACGCCGCGUGCGGGAUGACGGCCUUCGGGUUGUAAACCGCUUUCGCCUGUGACGAAGCGUGAGUGACGGUAAUGGGUAAAGAAGCACCGGCUAACUACGUG
RNAcentral lists this ribosomal RNA (468 nucleotides) under uncultured bacterium. RNAcentral's name for it is "partial 16S ribosomal RNA". It matches the Rfam family "Bacterial small subunit ribosomal RNA", at positions 28 to 507 of the family's 1533-position model. The record is from RNAcentral.